RNAcentral lists this ribosomal RNA (450 nucleotides) under Pedobacter sp. IGS14. Its description in RNAcentral is "bacterial SSU rRNA". It matches the Rfam family "Bacterial small subunit ribosomal RNA", at positions 22 to 469 of the family's 1533-position model. The record is from RNAcentral. Lineage: Bacteria; Pseudomonadati; Bacteroidota; Sphingobacteriia; Sphingobacteriales; Sphingobacteriaceae.
GCUCAGGAUGAACGCUAGCGGCAGGCCUAAUACAUGCAAGUCGAACGAUAUUUUCCAGCUUGCUGGGAGAGAAAGUGGCGCACGGGUGCGUAACGCGUAUGCAACCUACCUUCAUCAGGGGGAUAGCCCGGAGAAAUCCGGAUUAAUACCGCAUAAAAUCACAGGAUGGCAUUAUCCAAUGAUCAAACAUUUAUGGGAUGGAGAUGGGCAUGCGUGUCAUUAGCUAGUUGGCGGGGUAACGGCCCACCAAGGCGACGAUGACUAGGGGAUCUGAGAGGAUGGCCCCCCACACUGGUACUGAGACACGGACCAGACUCCUACGGGAGGCAGCAGUAAGGAAUAUUGGUCAAUGGAGGCAACUCUGAACCAGCCAUGCCGCGUGCAGGAAGACUGCCCUAUGGGUUGUAAACUGCUUUUAUCCGGGAAUAAACCUCUGCUCGUGAGCAGAGC